Molecule: non-coding RNA, 72 nt
Organism: Phrynosoma platyrhinos (Desert horned lizard)
Lineage: Eukaryota; Metazoa; Chordata; Lepidosauria; Squamata; Phrynosomatidae
Source: the annotation of a GenBank genome assembly
GGCAGUGUGGCAUAGUGGUUUGAGUAUAGAACUAGAACUCUAGUGAUUAGGGUUUGAUUCCCUGCUUGGCUA